This 245-nucleotide ribosomal RNA is filed under the name uncultured bacterium. RNAcentral's name for it is "partial small subunit ribosomal RNA". It matches the Rfam family "Bacterial small subunit ribosomal RNA", at positions 26 to 285 of the family's 1533-position model. The record is from RNAcentral.
AGAAUCAACGCUGGCGGCGUGCCUAACACAUGCAAGUCGAACGAGAAAGUGGAGCAAUCCAUGAGUAAAGUUGCGCACGGGUGAGUAACACGUGACUAACCUACCCUUGAGUGGGGAAUAACUUCGGGAAACCGAGGCUAAUACCGCAUAACACCUACGGGUCAAAGGAGCAAUUCGCUUAAGGAGGGGGUCGCGGCAGAUUAGUUAGUUGGCAGGGUAAUGGCCUACCAAGACGGUGAUCUGUA